AGUGGGAUUGCUGGAUCUUAUGGUGAUUCCAUUUUUAGUUUUUUGAGCAACGUCUAUACUAUUUUCCAAAAUAGCUGUACUAAUUUGCAAUAUCACCAACAGU
Molecule: microRNA precursor, 103 nt
Filed under: Marmota monax (woodchuck)
Lineage: Eukaryota; Metazoa; Chordata; Mammalia; Rodentia; Sciuridae
Source: RNAcentral